Molecule: ribosomal RNA, 228 nt
Filed under: uncultured Bacillus sp.
Lineage: Bacteria; Bacillati; Bacillota; Bacilli; Caryophanales; Bacillaceae
Description: partial 16S ribosomal RNA
Rfam family: Bacterial small subunit ribosomal RNA
Source: RNAcentral
AGCAAUGGGCGGGUCUAUACAUGCAAGUCGAGCGGACAGAUGGGAGCUUGCUCCCUGAUGUUAGCGGCGGACGGGUGAGUAACACGUGGGUAACCUGCCUGUAAGACUGGGAUAACUCCGGGAAACCGGGGCUAAUACCGGAUGGUUGUCUGAACCGCAUGGUUCAGACAUAAAAGGUGGCUUCGGCUACCACUUACAGAUGGACCCGCGGCGCAUUAGCUAGUUGGU